ACCAUCCGCGCGCUUUCAGGUGGCGCGACGACGUUUGGACGUCCGAACGCUUAAACGGGAAGCCGGUGGAAAUCCCGGCACUGCCCCCGCAACGGUGAACGAGUCAAACGCGGCAUUACGCCACUGGAUCAAUCCGGGAAGGCGCCGCGCCGGAGCAAGCCUCCACUCGUGAGUCCGGAGACCGGCCUGCAGCGGUCAGGCUCG
Molecule: non-coding RNA, 204 nt
Filed under: Lysobacteraceae bacterium
Lineage: Bacteria; Pseudomonadati; Pseudomonadota; Gammaproteobacteria; Lysobacterales; Lysobacteraceae
Source: RNAcentral